This 214-nucleotide long non-coding RNA is filed under the name Lathyrus oleraceus (garden pea). RNAcentral's name for it is "Pisum sativum (pea) long non-coding RNA (PSAT_LNC018731)". The record is from RNAcentral. Lineage: Eukaryota; Viridiplantae; Streptophyta; Magnoliopsida; Fabales; Fabaceae.
AGCUUUGGGAACCAUUGCCAUGCUUGCUUUCAUCUUCUCUUGGCCAUAUCAAUGCACAUAGGAUCUCCUAGAAGCUUUAGACCUUGUGACUGCUCAAGCUACAAAUAAGAGAUGUUAGUGACAUAUUUUUGUGCUUUUGGUUAGUAAAUAAAAUGAGAAAAGCAAUAAUAUACAAUUCAAGUAUGCUUGGUGAUCUCAAACCAACUCUCAAAAG